UACGAAGGGGGCUAGCGUUGCUCGGAAUGACUGGGCGUAAAGGGCGCGUAGGCGGCUUGCACCGUCAGAUGUGAAAUUCCUGGGCUUAACCUGGGGGCUGCAUUUGAUACGUGUGGGCUUGAGUGCGGAAGAGGGUCGUGGAAUUCCCAGUGUAGCGGUGAAAUGCGUAGAUAUUGGGAGGAACACCAGUGGCGAAGGCGGCUACCUGGACCGGUUCUGACGCUGAGGCGCGAAAGCGUGGGUAGCAAACAGG
RNAcentral lists this ribosomal RNA (253 nucleotides) under uncultured bacterium. Its description in RNAcentral is "partial 16S ribosomal RNA". It matches the Rfam family "Bacterial small subunit ribosomal RNA", at positions 524 to 776 of the family's 1533-position model. The record is from RNAcentral.